AAAAAGAGAAACCAUGAGUUUCCGUGCCAAUGUUUAACUGUCCGUCUUAUUAAAAAAAACUAUAAUUAGUAUUUUCAUUGUUGUUAGAUGAUAAAACAUGAUUAAUACUUUAUGCGUGACUUAUCUUUUUUUCAUAAUUUUUUUAAAUAAGACGGACGGUCAAACGUUGGAUACGGAAACC
RNAcentral lists this microRNA precursor (181 nucleotides) under Oryza nivara. Its description in RNAcentral is "MIR812 microRNA precursor family". It matches the Rfam family "MIR812 microRNA precursor family". Lineage: Eukaryota; Viridiplantae; Streptophyta; Magnoliopsida; Poales; Poaceae. The record is from Rfam by way of RNAcentral.